CCUACGGGAGGCUGCAGUGAGGAAUAUUGGUCAAUGGACGCAAGUCUGAACCAGCCAUGCCGCAUGCGGGAAGACGGCUCUGUGAGUUGUAAACUGCUUUUGUACGAGGAUAAACGCAGAUACGCGUAUCUGUCUGAGAGUAUCGUACGAAUAAGGAUCGGCUAACUCCGUGCCAGCAGCCGCGGUAAUACGGAGGAUUCGAGCGUUAUCCGGAUUUAUUGGGUUUAAAGGGUGCGUAGGCGGUCGGAUAAGUUAGAGGUGAAAUCCCGAGGCUCAACUUCGGAAUUGCCUCUGAUACUGGUCGGCGAGAGAGUAGUUGAGGUAGGCGGAAUGCAUGGUGUAGCGGUGAAAUGCUUAGAGAUCACACAGAACACCGAUUGCGAAGGCAGCUUACCAAGCUACUUCUGACGUUGAGGCACGAAAGCGUGGGGAGCAAACAGGAUUAGAUACCCCGGUAGUC
Molecule: ribosomal RNA, 460 nt
Filed under: uncultured bacterium
Lineage: Bacteria
Description: partial 16S ribosomal RNA
Rfam family: Bacterial small subunit ribosomal RNA
Source: RNAcentral